UUUGAAGGGAGGGUAGAACCUGCCUUCGAAAUUUACAAGCUCUUAUCUGUGAUUAUGAAUGUUUGACUGCCGCAAGGCAAAAUUUAAUACAACUUUUAACAACGGAUCUCUUGGCUCUCGCAUCGAUGAAGAACGCAGCGAAAUGCGAUAAGUAAUGUGAAUUGCAGAAUUCAGUGAAUCAUCGAAUCUUUGAACGCACCUUGCGCUCCCUGGUAUUCCGGGGAGCACGCCUGUUCGAGUGUCAUGAAACUCUCAAACAAGAUAGAUUUGUUUCUGUCUUUGUUUGGAUUUGGACUUUGCUGUGUCAAUGCAGCUGGUCUUAAAUGUAUUAGCUGGUCCUGAUGAAGGUUUGGUUCUACUCAGCGUGAUAAUUAUCUAACGUUGAGGACAGUCUCCGGACUGGCCAGGCUCUCUUUGGAUUGCUUCUAAUCAUCUUAGGAUAAUUGCUUAAUAUCUGACCUCGAAUCAGGUGGGACUACCCGCUGAACUUAAGCAUAUCAAUAAGCGGAGGAAAAGAAACUAACAAGGAUUCCCCUAGUAACGGCGAGUGAAGCGGGAUGAGCUCAAAUUUAAAAUCUGGUAGUC
Molecule: ribosomal RNA, 585 nt
Filed under: uncultured Sistotrema
Lineage: Eukaryota; Fungi; Basidiomycota; Agaricomycetes; Corticiales; Corticiaceae
Description: eukaryotic LSU rRNA
Rfam family: 5.8S ribosomal RNA (bases 91-244)
Source: RNAcentral